Long non-coding RNA from Toxotes jaculatrix (banded archerfish), 379 nucleotides. RefSeq lists it as uncharacterized. The record is from RefSeq and is a predicted model, not a curated record. Lineage: Eukaryota; Metazoa; Chordata; Actinopteri; Toxotidae. The transcript is spliced from 3 exons.
UAAAGGGAGAGUCUCAGACACUGUGCUACACUUCCAGCCUCUUACACACUCUGGGAUCUGUCACUGUGCUGUGUUGUGUGGACAAACAGGGUAUCCUGUCGUGGCCUAACCCCAGUCCAGAGACCGUGCUGUUCUUCAGCGGACGGGUCGAACCACCUCACAACAGCCAGGAUGAUCUCAGAGACGACCUGUCCGUCAACUCCUACUGCCGAAUGGAGACGGAUGACGACAGGGAUGAGGCCCAGGAGGGGCAGGCUCUGCUCUGUCUACCGGCAGAGUCCUCCACCCAGCUGGGGGAGGGGCCCGAGCCGAGCGAGACCUCACACGACAGCAUUCGCUCAUCUGACACGGUCCGGCUUCGGCGUUCCUGCCAGCCCGC